RNAcentral lists this ribosomal RNA (189 nucleotides) under Pseudomonas aeruginosa. RNAcentral describes it as "partial 16S ribosomal RNA". It matches the Rfam family "Bacterial small subunit ribosomal RNA", at positions 1 to 180 of the family's 1533-position model. The record is from RNAcentral. Lineage: Bacteria; Pseudomonadati; Pseudomonadota; Gammaproteobacteria; Pseudomonadales; Pseudomonadaceae.
AGCAGUAUUGAACUGAAGAGUUUGAUCAUGGCUCAGAUUGAACGCUGGCGGCAGGCCUAACACAUGCAAGUCGAGCGGAUGAAGGGAGCUUGCUCCUGGAUUCAGCGGCGGACGGGUGAGUAAUGCCUAGGAAUCUGCCUGGUAGUGGGGGAUAACGUCCGGAAACGGGCGCUAAUACCGCAUACGUCC